CGUCGGCGACCGGCGCACGGGUGAGUAACACGUAUGCAACCUGCCCUCUUCAGGGGGACAACCUUCCGAAAGGGAGGCUAAUCCCGCGUAUAUCGGUUUCGGGCAUCCGAGAUCGAGGAAAGAUUCAUCGGAAGAGGAUGGGCAUGCGGCGCAUUAGCUAGACGGCGGGGUAACGGCCCACCGUGGCGACGAUGCGUAGGGGUUCUGAGAGGAAGGUCCCCCACACUGGUACUGAGACACGGCCCAAACUCCUACGGGAGGCAGCAG
Molecule: ribosomal RNA, 267 nt
Filed under: uncultured bacterium
Lineage: Bacteria
Description: partial 16S ribosomal RNA
Rfam family: Bacterial small subunit ribosomal RNA
Source: RNAcentral